Hydractinia symbiolongicarpus is the source of this 1167-nucleotide long non-coding RNA. RefSeq lists it as uncharacterized. The record is from RefSeq and is a predicted model, not a curated record. The transcript has 2 exons. NCBI's taxonomy places the organism in Eukaryota, Metazoa, Cnidaria, Hydrozoa, Anthoathecata, Hydractiniidae.
UAACUAUUGGUAGUAUUAUGUUUCCGUUCUAAGAAACAGCCAUAGGGUAUGCCCCAACAUAAUUUUGCUUAAAGCAAACUUAUGUUGGGGCUUAGCACACUAAUGAUGACGAAGUAAAAAAAAAAGUGAUCUUACCCCAGUAAGUGAUCUUUUACUACUUAAUAACAGUUACCUAGUUACCUACAUCAAAUUAUAUAGCUAGGCACCAAAAACAUCUCUGCUUACAGCUAAACGAGUUACUCAUCAUUUUGUUGUUCUCAGAAUCCGUUUUACUACUGGAAAUCAAUAAAAAAAAGAGCUUGGUGAGCUUUAAGACAGGCAUGUUUAGAAAUUCAUUUAAGGACAGGCAUUUUGGCAUUUUUUAGACAUAUUUAAUCGCACAAUCAGUUUAUGACACCUUAUUAACUGAUAACUAUUUUUAACUGGUUAAUAGACCUUUUUGAAUGUUUACAUUUUUCUGUGGGUAAGCCAUUUUGGCUCUAACAACCGCAUGGCAGGUAAAAAGAUGUGGAAGCUUGCUUAAGAAAUGUCCUAUCAGACCAUUUCUUUUUACGGAAACAUUGUUGAGGCUUUAAACUAUUAUUGUAGAUUGCUCUACAUUCUACUUAAUAUACCUAUAUAUUCAUUUAAAGUCUUAACAAUACCUUUGUCCAAAGGAAUAGACUGAACAAGACUUCCUUUCACCUAGCAUGUACAUCUUUUUGCCUACCAGAAGGGCUUACUGUGCUUACUGUGAAAAAUGUAAACAUUAAAAAAAAUCUCUCUCUCUAUAUAUAUAUACAAGUGCUUAUUGGCUAAAAAGCCUUAACGACAGGCUUUACAUAUAUAUACUGCACCAUAUAACUUUUAAUUUUGUAGCAGCAAUAAUGAUAGCUAUAUGUAAACAAGUAACACUGCCGGGAAAUCAAAAAACAAAACAAUAAAAAAAGAUAAACCGCAGUGUGUUUUUUUAUCUAUAUUUUACGAUAUUUUGGGAGUUGUCGUAUUGUAUGAACUAAAAAGAGCAAUGCAUGUCAUUAUCAUAUGGAGUAGAUACAAAUGACUAAAGGAGUUAUUUUUAAAUCAAUAUGAAAAAUACCUGUUACUGUGUAAGAAAAUACUGUACUUGAAAAAUUUGUAUUUUCAUAACCUUGUUAUAGUUUUAUUAUAUUCCAUAUAUUAAAAUUU